This 1391-nucleotide long non-coding RNA is filed under the name Lathyrus oleraceus (garden pea). RNAcentral's name for it is "Pisum sativum (pea) long non-coding RNA (PSAT_LNC037069)". The record is from RNAcentral. Lineage: Eukaryota; Viridiplantae; Streptophyta; Magnoliopsida; Fabales; Fabaceae.
AAUUGGAAGAAAUCAAGGGAACAUAGAACUCACUUUGGCCGGAGAUUUCGCUGGAGUCAAUUAAUGGCUUUUAUAUCCUUGCUUCUGGUUCGUUUGUUACUUCUUCUUCUUCUUUCGAUCCUUCUUCUUCUUCUUAUUCCGGAUUGAGAGUGAGGGAUCUUGAGGAGGUUUUAGAACAAACAAGUUUGAAGCUCUAAUGGUGAGCUUCAACUGCUUCUAGAGAGUGCAUGUGGUGAGGGUGAGAGAAGGAUUUGAGUUGCUUUCAGUAGUUCUCAGAAUGAUAAUUGCCAAGGUCUUGAAAUGAUGGAGGUGAUGGUGAUUUAUAGAAGUUAGCUUUGGAUUAGUGUAGGUUUGGAGUUACUUAUUAGGAGGUUAGGAACUAGCUUAGGAAACAGUUAGAAUGAACUCAGUGAGUUUGUAGUUAACUCACUGAGGUUGGAAGUUAGUUAAUGAGCUAGGGCCUGUUAAUUGGUUGGUUGAGUAAUUAGUUGACUGGCUGUAGCAGGUUGUUCCUUAAGUGGGAUUGGCCUUGCAAAUUGAUUCCCGACCUGUUGAACAUGUUUCUUUCUACUGCCAAUUGUUAGUGACUUGUGAGUAAUGCUAUGUUAUGUUUUGCCAAUGCCUCACAAGCUCAAGUUCAAGCAUGUGUAUUUUGAUUUCCCUUUUCCCUUCAUAUAACCCCACUUGUUUUGCUGCAGAGUUUUCUCAUGUUGUCCAUUGCAGGUUUUGGGAAUGAGUGGAGAAAAGCAUAACAGGAAUUUCAUUGAGUCAAAGCAAUCAACCUUCCAAUGGUGCAAUCUGGUCAUGGUUUGGCUUGUGAGGUACAAGGAUCUUGAAAGUUUGGCCUGAACUUAUAGUAGGUUUGAAUUUGCUUUGAAUUGGUGCUUGCUUGCUCUCAUCAUCUUGUGGCAAUUCCUGCUCAAAUUUGGUUUGGUUAUAGAUGACAGUUGAAUUACUUUAUGCAGGCUUGGAACAGGGGACAUGAACUGAGGAGGGUUAUUUUCUUUUAGCCAUUGAUGGUGAGUUGUUCUACUGGUUUGUGAGCAGUCAUAAAUAUAGAUGAAUUCUUGGAAUAUUUGUACAGUCUGCUUGUUUUGAUGUACUCCCAUUGAGAUGCUCGUUGAAGGUGAAACAUCAUGGUGUGAUGGGGCUUUUUGUUAGGUUGGUGAUGUUGUUGUCAUGUAUUUCUAGGAAUGUUGGCAUUGUGUUAGUUAGUAUGUGAAUAUUUUCCAUUAGACUGUGUUGAAACAUGUCAUAAUGUUACAAGGUUGUUAUUGUUUGCUUGACAUUUAUGUUUUCCAUUGUAUGAACCCCACUUGAUUGUUGUGGAUUACUGAACAUGGUGUUGGUAUUGACAUGGUUUUGACAUUGCUUGGCACACUGUAGGGAUA